GAGGAACACGUGAAGAAUCUGCCCUCCACUUUGGGAUAACUCCGGGAAACCGGUGCUAAUACCGGAUACUCCAUCUUGGCGGCAUCGCCGAGCUGGGAAAAAAUUUUGAUGAAAGAUGGUCUCGCGGCCUAUCAGCUAGUUGGUGAGGUAACGGCUCACCAAGGCUACGACGGGUAACCGGCCUGAGAGGGCGAACGGUCACACUGGGACUGAGACACGGCCCAGACUCC
RNAcentral lists this ribosomal RNA (230 nucleotides) under uncultured bacterium. RNAcentral describes it as "partial 16S ribosomal RNA". It matches the Rfam family "Bacterial small subunit ribosomal RNA", at positions 108 to 339 of the family's 1533-position model. The record is from RNAcentral.